Non-coding RNA from Gossypium raimondii (Peruvian cotton), 124 nucleotides. The record is from Rfam. NCBI's taxonomy places the organism in Eukaryota, Viridiplantae, Streptophyta, Magnoliopsida, Malvales, Malvaceae.
AAUAAGAGCAUGACAAAUCAAAUUUUUACACUUGAUUUUCAGCUUUUUUUUUCCUGAAAAAAUUCAAAUUUAACUAAAAAUGCUAAAAAUUAGGAUGGAAAAUUUGAUUUGUCAUGUCCCUAUU